UCCCUUUAUGGAGAGUUUGAUCCUGGCUCAGGACGAACGCUGGCGGCGUGCCUAAUACAUGCAAGUCGAGCGGAGUUAUUCCUUCGGGGAUGGCUUAGCGGCGGACGGGUGAGUAACACGUAGGCAACCUGCCCUCAAGACCGGGAUAACAUUCGGAAACGAAUGCUAAGACCGGAUACGCAAGCCUGGGGCAUCUCGGGCUUGGGAAACACGGUUUCGG
This 220-nucleotide ribosomal RNA is filed under the name Cohnella fermenti. RNAcentral's name for it is "Cohnella sp. CC-MHH1044 partial 16S ribosomal RNA". It matches the Rfam family "Bacterial small subunit ribosomal RNA", at positions 1 to 214 of the family's 1533-position model. Lineage: Bacteria; Bacillati; Bacillota; Bacilli; Caryophanales; Paenibacillaceae. The record is from RNAcentral.